This 2963-nucleotide long non-coding RNA is filed under the name Scleropages formosus (Asian bonytongue). Its description in RNAcentral is "lncRNA (ENSSFOG00015025024.1)". The record is from RNAcentral. Lineage: Eukaryota; Metazoa; Chordata; Actinopteri; Osteoglossiformes; Osteoglossidae.
GCAUAAACUGCAGCUGCCCACGUGGGAACUGUUUAAGGCGCGACAGUCGCGGGCCCUUUAAAUUCGCCCUGUCGCCUGGUGGGGGGGCGUUAUGAGCUCAACUCAUCAAUCAGACCGGGCCAAGAAACUUUCCCUCCUUUUGUUUACACACAUUCAGAUGUCCCAGGAUUCUACACUGCAGGGAAAGAGAGCAAUGGACCACAUCUGCUGGAAUGAGGGAUGCCACCGCUGCUGGGUCGAGUCAUGUCCUUUGGAACGCAAAGGAUUCUGGACAGCUGGAAGGGGAACUGUGAGCUGUAUGAAGAGUACUGGUGUAGCGGAAGAGACCCCUCCCUCCCCCUCUCCCUUCCGGGGGCUCGACCGGUUGCUGCACAUCACCGCUAGAGGACGCACGCAUUGCGGAGUCUCCGAGACAAUGGAUCUACCCAGGAUCGUCGAAUGGCACCAUAAGAGAUAUAAGUAUUCCACGCUGAUGAAUAUGCGCGUUUAAGCACGGCUCGCGUGUUCUUCUAAAUUGACGCCGCACGCCAGGUAUUCGUUCCGCCGUAGCUGGGCUCCACUGGAACCGUUAUUGAUCUGCAAGGAGAUGAGAGCUCUUUGUGCUGCAGGCCUCUUCUUGUCCCAUCUUGCUGGAGUGGAGUUCAAUACCCACACAGCAGCUCCAGCCCCCCAGUGCCACAGCUGAUUGAAUUAUUGUCCUCUCCUGUGUGGACAGUAAGCUCGCUAUUUGUCGGAGCCGCAGACCGUGAAUGCCGCCUUGUGACCAAGUGCGGGGGGCACCACGCUUUCCAGAAACGCAGGUUUUCAAGGGUUAAAGGGGAAGGCAUUCCAUCCUCGUCGACCCCCCCACCCCCGCCUCCUCCCUCCAGGUGGGGGUGGGGGUUGAGGGGGGUGUGCUACAAUACAUCUGUAAGAUGUUGAAGAAGCAACUCCUGGACUCCAGUUAAUUAACCACAUCAGUUUCUUAAUGUGAUCAAUUUUAAUUAAACUGAAUUUUAAUUGGGAUCGGAGGUCUGCGGAGAGCGCUUGCUAAUUCCGCCGAACGCAUGUGCCGUCGAAGCGGCCGCUUUUCACUUCACAUUUGCCAGGGCCUAAUUAAUAUGGAUAGGGCAUUAAGCCUUUUGGACUCUGGUGGCUUCCAUUUCAUGACUAUUAAUGAUUUUAAUGAACUGGACUAAUUCAGUACUUUUCAGCCGUGGUCCUUUAAAGUGCUGUGCCGUGCUUAUUUAGUUUUGUAAUGGGCAUCGAGAUCUGAGUGGGCGAGACUGGUCAUCUGCUUCAGCCAAGACUGCCGCUUUGCUGGGCAUCGGAGACUGAAAUGGAAAUGUUUUUUGUUCGAUGUUAAAAAAAUAAUUCACUGUGAAAUGUCCUUGUCUCGUUUGUCCUCGUCUCUACACCGGAUGCGCACGUCCCAAAUUCUGCCAUUCCACGGUGUUAUCUUUUUUCAAAAACACGGGGCGGCUUCUACGAGCACUCAGAAGCUCAUCCCUUGUGAGGAGGUUCUUCAGAGUGGGCUGAUCGUGGAUUCAUGAGUUCCCGGUGGUGGUGUUUGAUCACAUCCCCUCUUAAUCUUAUAUGAUAGAGAGCAUGUGUAAAAUGUGUGCUCAUUGAGAGCUCUGAGUAGCAGCCGUGACAAGACGAAUUCAGACUGAAAAGCGUCGUGCUGCCCCUCGCAUCUAAGUAGCGCGCAGGGAUAAAUACUGAGAAGCAGCCGUUACUAAGAUCUGUGUCACGACAGGCCGAGAGAACCGGGACGGAAAGACCCGAGCGCGGAGUCGUCCGUCCGGAGUCAGAGGAUCAGGCAAGUUCUCGGUAUCGGGGACAGGCGGAGGGUCGGUCGAUCGGCGGUCGGGGUCGGAGCGGGAAUCCACGGGCGAGGUCCGGAGACGGAGCGAAGAGUCGGUCGAGCCGCGAUCGGAGUUGAAACGAAGAUCCGUGGACGUGGUCGAGAAACAAAGCUGGGGUCAAAACCGGAGAACGUGAACUGAAAAGUGGAGAUGCGUAUGAGCGGGGAGUCACAAGGAAGGGCGGUUGUCUCUGACGAGAUUCCGCAAAGGUGUGGGAGCUGAGGAGGGUCUUUUAAAGGGUGAGCGGUUAAUCGGGUGCUGGAGCAGAGUCAGGUGUUGUCGGUUGGGUUGUUGGCGUGGACGUGACAAUCUGCAAAGGAAGCGAGAACUUGGAGGCUUCCUCUAAAAACGUAGCCGGAAGAAACGCAUGAAUCUCUUUUAAUGUUCCUGGAAACAGGUUGUAUACCUCUGCUGAGAAACGUAACGUUUACAGUGUUUCUUUAUGUUUGAGACACGUAGGAAUGUAAAUGAGGAUCGAGAGCUAAUACGAUUUUUUUUUCGUGUUUGUUUGUGCUCUGCGAUGCGACCUCGCAGACCCUGCCGCAGAGCUCGUCGAAAGCAACCAAACACCCUGCAGGAUAAAAAGGUAAUUUACGCUCCUAUAGCUGUGCGCUCUGGCGUGCCAGUUGAGGUACGGGCGGAAGACUAAAGAAGUACAGGUGAGUUUACUAUAACACGGUAAAAGCCACAAAAAUGCCAUCAACUCACAUUUUAUGCCCCUUUUCUUUGUUAAAAUGCAAUUCACAGCUUUAAAGAGAUAGCAACUUCCGCUGAUCAUCCACGGUUUAUUAUUUAACAAUUUUAUAGUGCGUGAUUGAACGUCAUCUGACGCUUGUGUCAGUGUGAGGGUGUGACAGGGGGUCAGGCCUCCUAGAAUGAUCACUUUGCAGUGUUGAGCUUCAGCUUCACCCUCUGCUACCAGUCCCAGCACCGGAGCCCACCAGAGCAGGGCAUCUUCACUCCCACGCAAGAUCCAGCGCUGAUGUUGCGAAAAAGUUACACCGGCACAGAAGUGAGGGCAGCGCAGGCAUAACAAUGGCCAUCAGGAGCAGUCGAGAAGAUGCUCGAUGACAAAACGCAAAGAAUAAAAUCUACGUGUCUGUGACGCUGCCUGCA